Chelonoidis abingdonii (Abingdon island giant tortoise) is the source of this 943-nucleotide long non-coding RNA. RefSeq lists it as uncharacterized. Lineage: Eukaryota; Metazoa; Chordata; Testudines; Testudinidae. The record is from RefSeq and is a predicted model, not a curated record.
CAGUUUUCUCCUACUAUAGGCAACCAAGAGGAUCAGGAACCACUGCAAACAGCCGAGAUAAUCUAGGGACAGUCAUUAAAGGAUAUGUUUUCACAUGAGGAAAAUAUAUUUUCUAGUUUCAUGUACUUGAGAGAAAUAAAACCAAUAAACCCAUAGAGUGCUGAGGCACAAACACUUUCUCUACCAAAAAGGUGCAAGAUGUAGGACGAAUGAGAGAAGCACUUGAAGAAAAUUCUUGCAAGCUUUAGCUGAAUGGCACUGAUAACAAUCGUUCACCAUUUUGGUCUGUUCCUGUAUGGCUGCGAGGGCUUGACAGGUCAAAAGUGCAUGGUCAGUACAGACUGGAUUGCAAGAAUGCUCAUGACAAAAAGCCAUGAACAGCAUCUCAGCCUUUAAGAAAGUAAUGAACCUGACUUGAGCAGGUAACCAGACACACUGUGGAAGUGACAUCUAGAAUGCUGAUUAAAAGAGAUCUACAAUUUAAGUAUGCCCUCUGUUUGAAAAGUAACAUGGAAAAUUAAAAUCUACCAUUAAGGAAAUUCACUCCACAAAGCCAGCAGGAAGAGCUUGGUUGUGGGUGUGAAUCACUCAGGUUAAACAUUUAAUGUACAUCCACCUACACAAAUAUUUCCUCCUUUUACUUACUCCAUACCUACUUCCCCUUCCCACCCCCCGAACAGAUAAACAGAUAGAGGACAGAAGGUAACUGCAAAUUAUCCCCAGGAUAACAAAACUACAAGAGUGCUCCAAUUCUUAAGAUUGUCACAUCCAGAACAAGGAUUACCAAGCCAUAGACUGAAAUUUGGUUGCUGGCUGAAGGUCGUUAAAACCCUGCUUACUGGAAACCCCCCUUUUCUUUCAGGAAAUCAGAGUCCACACAACGAAGUUCCAAGAAAGCUCUCUCUCCAUAUCUUUCUAAAUAAAAUUUUUCUUCUUUCAAAUA